GAGGGUAUAGCUCAAGUGGCAGAGUGCAUGCUUAGCAUGCAUGAGGCUCUGGGUUCAAUCCCCAGUACCUCCU
This 73-nucleotide transfer RNA is filed under the name Camelus bactrianus (Bactrian camel). It matches the Rfam family "tRNA". From Rfam's summary of the family: Transfer RNA (tRNA) molecules are approximately 80 nucleotides in length. Their secondary structure includes four short double-helical elements and three loops (D, anti-codon, and T loops). RNAcentral also lists the same sequence under 2 other names. The record is from Rfam by way of RNAcentral. Lineage: Eukaryota; Metazoa; Chordata; Mammalia; Artiodactyla; Camelidae.